RNAcentral lists this ribosomal RNA (452 nucleotides) under uncultured Allobosea sp. RNAcentral describes it as "bacterial SSU rRNA". It matches the Rfam family "Bacterial small subunit ribosomal RNA", at positions 9 to 507 of the family's 1533-position model. Lineage: Bacteria; Pseudomonadati; Pseudomonadota; Alphaproteobacteria; Hyphomicrobiales; Alloboseaceae. The record is from RNAcentral.
GAGUUUGAUCCUGGCUCAGAGCGAACGCUGGCGGCAGGCUUAACACAUGCAAGUCGAACGGGCACUUCGGUGCUAGUGGCAGACGGGUGAGUAACGCGUGGGAACGUGCCUUUCGGUUCGGAAUAAUCCAGGGAAACUUGGACUAAUACCGGAUACGCCCUUCGGGGGAAAGAUUUAUCGCCGAAAGAUCGGCCCGCGUCUGAUUAGCUAGUUGGUGAGGUAAUGGCUCACCAAGGCGACGAUCAGUAGCUGGUCUGAGAGGAUGAUCAGCCACAUUGGGACUGAGACACGGCCCAAACUCCUACGGGAGGCAGCAGUGGGGAAUAUUGGACAAUGGGCGCAAGCCUGAUCCAGCCAUGCCGCGUGAGUGAUGAAGGCCUUAGGGUUGUAAAGCUCUUUUGUCCGGGAAGAUAAUGACUGUACCGGAAGAAUAAGCCCCGGCUAACUUCGUG